AGAGUUUGAUCCUGGCUCAGGACGAACGCUGGCGGCGUGCCUAACACAUGCAAGUCGAGCGGAGACAGUGAGUAGCUUGCUAUGAGCUGUUUUAGCGGCGGACGGGUGAGUAACGCGUGAGCAACCUUUCCCAGACAGGGGAAUAACACACCGAAAGGUGUACUAAUACCGCAUAAGACCACGGGAUCAUAUGGUUCUGGGGUAAAAGAUUUAUCGGUUUGGGGUAGGCUCGCGUCCGAUUAGGUAGUUGGUGAGGUAACGG
Molecule: ribosomal RNA, 262 nt
Filed under: uncultured bacterium
Lineage: Bacteria
Description: partial 16S ribosomal RNA
Rfam family: Bacterial small subunit ribosomal RNA
Source: RNAcentral